GAGAGUGAGUAAAGUGGCGAACGGGUGAGUAUCGCGUGGGUGAUCUACCCUUUGGAGGGGGAUAACACGGGGAAACCCGUGCUAAUACCGCAUAGGCCUGACUAUUCGGUUAGCCAGGGAAAAGUAAUUUGCCGAAGGAGGAGCCCGCGUCCGAUUAGCUAGUUGGUGGGGUAAGAGCUUACCAAGGCAACGAUCGGUAGCCGGUCUGAGAGGACGGACGGCCACACUGGGACUGAGACACGGCCCAGACUCCUACGGGAGGCAGCAGUGGGGAAUUUUGGGCAAUGGGGGCAACCCUGACCCAGCAACGCCGCGUGGAGGAUGAAGGUUUUCGGGUCGUAAACUCCUGUCUGGAGGGACGAAUAAAGUGACGGUACCUCUGGAGGAAGCCCCGGCUAACUCCGUGCCAGCAGCCGCGGUAAUACGGGGGGGGCAAGCGUUGUUCGGAAUUACUGGGCGUAAAGGGCGCGUAGGCGGCACAGGAAGUCAUGGGUGAAAUCCCUCGGCUUAACCGGGGAAUGGCCUGUGGAACCACUGUGCUAGAGUGCUGGAGAGGAAAGUGGAAUUCCUAGUGUAGCGGUGAAAUGCGUAGAUAUUAGGAGGAACACCUGAGGCGAAGGCGGCUUUCUGGACAGACACUGACGCUG
RNAcentral lists this ribosomal RNA (647 nucleotides) under uncultured bacterium. RNAcentral describes it as "bacterial SSU rRNA". It matches the Rfam family "Bacterial small subunit ribosomal RNA", at positions 82 to 748 of the family's 1533-position model. The record is from RNAcentral.